UACGUAGGUGGCGAGCGUUGUCCGGAUUUACUGGGCGUAAAGGAUGCGUAGGUGGACUUUUAAGUCAGAUGUGAAAUCCCCGGGCUUAACUUGGGGGCUGCAUUUGAAACUGGAGGUCUGGAGUGCAGGAGAGGUAAGUGGAAUUCCUAGUGUAGCGGUGAAAUGCGUAGAUAUUAGGAAGAACACCAGUGGCGAAGGCGACUUACUGGACUGUAACUGACACUGAGGCAUGAAAGCGUGGGGAGCAAACAGG
This 253-nucleotide ribosomal RNA is filed under the name uncultured Clostridium sp. RNAcentral's name for it is "partial 16S ribosomal RNA". It matches the Rfam family "Bacterial small subunit ribosomal RNA", at positions 524 to 776 of the family's 1533-position model. Lineage: Bacteria; Bacillati; Bacillota; Clostridia; Eubacteriales; Clostridiaceae. The record is from RNAcentral.